UCCGAUUAACAGUACAGUCGUCGGUAUUCCGUCGGAAUUUUUCGACGAAUUUCUGACAAACCAUGUGACCGUUGCCGACAAAUAUAUAUGACCGUUGUAUAGCCGUUUGAGAUUGGAAAAUACCGACGGUAUUCCGACGGACUGCCUUACACCCGUCGGAAUUUCGUCGGAAGGUCGUCGGAGGGCCGUAAGCAAUUUCCUAUAAAUACAACCCCUCCUC
This 220-nucleotide long non-coding RNA is filed under the name Brassica napus (rape). RNAcentral's name for it is "long non-coding RNA (BNAP_LNC014205)". The record is from RNAcentral. Lineage: Eukaryota; Viridiplantae; Streptophyta; Magnoliopsida; Brassicales; Brassicaceae.